RNAcentral lists this unclassified non-coding RNA (717 nucleotides) under Hevea brasiliensis (rubber tree). Lineage: Eukaryota; Viridiplantae; Streptophyta; Magnoliopsida; Malpighiales; Euphorbiaceae. The record is from RNAcentral.
GAAGAUUCACGCUCAUGAUUCGUCUUCUUCCGAUUCGGAUGAUGACAAGGGUGACACUUCUGCUUCUAUCAAAUCUAAGAUUUAUCGCCUCUUCGGUAGGGAAAGGCCCGUCCACAAGGUUUUCGGCGGGGGAAAACCGGCUGAUAUCUUCCUGUGGAGAGACAAAAAGGUAUCCGGUGGAGUUCUAGGAGGAGCAACAGUUGCAUGGAUUUUGUUUGAGUUGCUUGAAUAUCACUUUCUGACUUUGAUUUGCCACAUUUUUAUGGCUGCUCUAGCAGUGGUGUUUUUGUGGUCAAAUGCUUCCUUCUUCAUUAACAAGUCUCUGCCGCAUAUCCCUCAAGUUCACAUUCCAGAGGAGCCAGUUAAAGAGAUUGCCACUGCGUUGAGAGUUGAGAUCAAUAGGGCCAUUGCAAUCUUGAGAGAAAUUGCUUCAGGAAGGGAUCUGAAGAGCUUUCUUUACGCUAUUGCUGGUUUGUGGGUUCUGUCCAUUGUGGGAAGCUGGUUCAACUUCCUAACCUUACUAUAUAUUGGAGUUAUUUUGCUCUUCACCGUACCCGUGUUCUACGAGAAAUACGAUGACAAGGUGGACGCCUUUGCAGAGAAGGCGAUGGCCGAAAUCAAGAAACAGUAUGUAGUAUUUGAUGCAAAGGUGCUUUCUAAAAUCCCAAGAGGACCACUGAAGGACAAAAAGAUUGCUUGAGAGAUGCCCGACUCUUG